Molecule: long non-coding RNA, 205 nt
Filed under: Elaeis guineensis (African oil palm)
Lineage: Eukaryota; Viridiplantae; Streptophyta; Magnoliopsida; Arecales; Arecaceae
Description: long non-coding RNA (EGUI_LNC039811)
Source: RNAcentral
ACAACUAAGGUGCAUUUGUUGGAGACUCUAUAUGCUACGCUCUGAAUCCAGCAUCUAAAUUGGGCAUGUGAUGGCCGCACACUCUUUAGGACAAGAUCUUAAAAAACUAUACCAGGCCUAUCUUUUUCUUAGUUCAUCAAUCCAACUGAGGUAGCAGUGAAAAUAAAUCCAAUAAAUUUUAUUCAUUAAUAUCUCAUAAUAAUCA